GGGGGUGUAGCUCAGUGGUACAGCACUUGCCUAGCAUGUGCAAGGUCCUGUGUUUGAUCCCCAGCACUCCCC
Molecule: transfer RNA, 72 nt
Filed under: Heterocephalus glaber (naked mole-rat)
Lineage: Eukaryota; Metazoa; Chordata; Mammalia; Rodentia; Bathyergidae
Rfam family: tRNA
About the family: Transfer RNA (tRNA) molecules are approximately 80 nucleotides in length. Their secondary structure includes four short double-helical elements and three loops (D, anti-codon, and T loops).
Source: Rfam by way of RNAcentral